UACGAGGGGGGGCGAGCGUUGUUCGGAAUUAUUGGGCGUAAAGGGCGCGUAGGCGGUCGGAUAAGUCUUGUGUGAAAUCUUCGGGCUCAACUCGAAGUCUGCACAGGAAACUAUCUGGCUUGAGUGUGGGAGAGGUGAGUGGAAUUCCUGGUGUAGCGGUGAAAUGCGUAGAUAUCAGGAGGAACACCUGUGGCGAAAGCGGCUCACUGGACCACAACUGACGCUGAGGCGCGAAAGCUAGGGGAGCAAACAGG
RNAcentral lists this ribosomal RNA (254 nucleotides) under uncultured bacterium. Its description in RNAcentral is "partial 16S ribosomal RNA". It matches the Rfam family "Bacterial small subunit ribosomal RNA", at positions 524 to 776 of the family's 1533-position model. The record is from RNAcentral.